This 206-nucleotide ribosomal RNA is filed under the name uncultured bacterium. RNAcentral describes it as "partial 16S ribosomal RNA". It matches the Rfam family "Bacterial small subunit ribosomal RNA", at positions 568 to 774 of the family's 1533-position model. The record is from RNAcentral.
UGUGUAGGUGGCAGUGUUAGUCAAGCGUUAAAACCUGGGGCUCAACCCCAGAGGUGCGUUUGAAACGGCACAGCUAGAGGAUGGCAGGGAUGUAUGGAACUCAUGGAGUAGGGGUGAAAUCCGUUGAUAUCAUGGGGAACACCAAAAGCGAAGGCAGUACAUUGGGCCACUCCUGACACUGAAACACGAAAGCGUGGUAGCGAAUG